This 253-nucleotide ribosomal RNA is filed under the name uncultured bacterium. Its description in RNAcentral is "partial 16S ribosomal RNA". It matches the Rfam family "Bacterial small subunit ribosomal RNA", at positions 524 to 776 of the family's 1533-position model. The record is from RNAcentral.
UACGGAGGGGGCUAGCGUUGUUCGGAAUUACUGGGCGUAAAGCGCACGUAGGCGGCUUUGCAAGACAGAUGUGAAAUCCCCGGGCUCAACCUGGGAACUGCAUUUGUGACUGCAUGGCUAGAGUGCGGCAGAGGGGGAUGGAAUUCCGCGUGUAGCAGUGAAAUGCGUAGAUAUGCGGAGGAACACCGAUGGCGAAGGCAAUCCCCUGGGCCUGCACUGACGCUCAUGCACGAAAGCGUGGGGAGCAAACAGG